GCCACUGUCGUGUCGUCAGCAGUCGAGGGUGAACAGGGAGUACAGGAAGGGACUAAGUUACAGUCUUAUUCCACAGACACAAGAACAGUUUAAUGUUAAGUGCUACUGAAAAUGCUAACAGUAAAACAAUAUGGCUCAUAAUUGUUGAAAGGAAACAACAUUUCCUGAAUCGUCUACAGUCAAGGAAGGUGGAAAAUCAUGUUAGUUUGUAUUCUGAGUAAAGUAUCCCUUUAAAUAUGGUAUAGUGUCUGUUUAGAACAAGAAGACUUACCCUCAGAUGGACAAAGUGGAUUGAAGUUGUUGUUGCUAAGCAUCCAUCUUUCUGCUUGCAAAUUGCUUUGGAUUACCCUGCAGUAUGUUCAGCAUGAACCUGCUGUCCGUCACCAGUACAAGAACAUGAACGAGGGUGAACAAGCAACACUUCAGCUUCAGUUGUCUGGAGCUUGGGGUUUUUGUGGCCACGGCACUUCCACUCAGAUGGACCCAGGUUUCAGCAGCUGUGCAACGUUGACGUCCUUCCUCCUAGAGAUGUGCAAGCAUCCCCUGGACUGGACACAACCAGGCAAAAACUUUUUUAAGAAGAUCAGAUGCCAUGAAAAGGCCAUGGACAUUAUAUGUCCUGCUCUAAAGGGCAGGACAGACAUAUAUUCUCAGGGUAGAUUCCUUUGUAACAUCAUAUCAUAACAUUACCUGAACCAAAGUCACUCAAAGGAUCUCGUUUUAAAAGCCUAUGUCUAGAUAUUUUUUUUACCUUCAUGUGUUGUGUGUUUCAAUUAUUUCCUAAAUUUAGGUUACUACCUUCAGCACUUAAAGUUAAUGAACUAUUUUAAUAUUGUAAUUUUUUUAAAGCUAUACAUCACUGAUUUAGCACAUGGCCACAGUCAUAUCUUCACGUGUGAAUUCUUUAAGAGAUGGGUGGGUCUAAGGCUUAAGAGGGUAUGAACGAUACCAAAUGGGCAUAAACAUAGCUGUUAAAGGUUAUCUUUAUUAUAGAACAGUAGUCAAGUUAAUACUGUUAAUGGUUUGCCUAAUGAGGGAACUUUGUGAGAUAAUGUUGAGAGAAUCCAUUUUGGACACAUGGUGAAAGUAUUCUUUUUCUAAAUAUGUUUCAUAAGGAUUAAUGUAGAGCAGUGGUUCUCAAUCCUGGUCCUGGGGACCCAAAGGGGUGCACAUUUUUGUUUUUGCCCUAGCACUACACACCUGAUUCAAAUCAGCAAAGCCUUUUGAUGAGUUGAUCAUUUGAAUCAGCUGUGUAGUGCUAGGGCAAAAACGUGCACCCUUUUGGGUCCCCAGGACCAGGGUUGAGAACCAGUGAUGUAGAGCAAGUGUGAAAAUCACAGAAAAAUGGUUCCUUCAGGAACUAUAGGGGUUCCCAGAAUCACCCCUAAUUCUAAGUGUAGCCUUAAGCUCAGUGUGGAUAUUACCUGUGUCAUGACUCUCUCUCCUUGGUGAGGAUCAAAGGUGCCAGAUCAGCUUGACACAUGUUUGAAGAUCCCUCUUUCCCACAGAAGAGUGUGCCGGUCUUGAUAUCUUAACACUGGGUUGUAAAUUUAAGCCACAUGGUACUUUCCCACUCUGCCUUUCAGUAUCCACCAAAGGAAUGCUUUGUCUAGAGUGUGGCCCGCCUAAAAACUCUGUAAAAUGAUUGGACAUUGAAACAGUAUUUCUAACAUAAAGAAUGUUGGGAAUGGUGAGAGAUGGAAUAUGGAAAAAUGAAUCUCUAUUUUGUGAUGUCAUUAAAAUGAUCAGAAAGACGUUAUAAUGGAAACAUUAACUUUAAAAGCUUUCGCACUGUAUAUAUCAGAUUUACAUAUAAAUGUUGUAAAAGUUCUGAUUAAAUAUUAAACUCUUUUUGAAAA
Oncorhynchus nerka (sockeye salmon) is the source of this 1859-nucleotide long non-coding RNA. RefSeq lists it as uncharacterized. The transcript is spliced from 3 exons. NCBI's taxonomy places the organism in Eukaryota, Metazoa, Chordata, Actinopteri, Salmoniformes, Salmonidae. The record is from RefSeq and is a predicted model, not a curated record.